RNAcentral lists this long non-coding RNA (375 nucleotides) under Malus domestica (apple). RNAcentral's name for it is "long non-coding RNA (MDOM_LNC001719)". Lineage: Eukaryota; Viridiplantae; Streptophyta; Magnoliopsida; Rosales; Rosaceae. The record is from RNAcentral.
GCAGGAGUCGUGGAAUGGUUUGGAGGCGGCGGAGAAGAGGACGAAGCCGCCUCCGUGGAAGUAGAUGAUGAGAGGGAGGCGGGGGUUUGGGGGGAGAGGGUGGGGUUUGAAGAGCCUGAAGAAGGUUUUUGUUUCUGGGUUUAAGGGAAUGUCCUUGGAGAGGACGAGUUGGGGAGAGUUGGAGUCUGACUCGGCGGCCGUGGCGGAAAUGGACUCGGUGGGGGUGGGAGUUGGGGAGACGGUGGGGAAAGGGGUGAAGCGGGUGAGGGAGCCAUCAGGGUUGGGGAGGAUUUUGAGGAGUUUGUAGGGGUCAAUGGAGGUUGGGGAUGAAGAAGGUUGAUACGCCAUGGAUGUUGUUGAAACUCGCAGAUGAAG